This 243-nucleotide long non-coding RNA is filed under the name Carica papaya (papaya). RNAcentral describes it as "long non-coding RNA (CPAP_LNC014016)". Lineage: Eukaryota; Viridiplantae; Streptophyta; Magnoliopsida; Brassicales; Caricaceae. The record is from RNAcentral.
AAAUAUAUAAACUUGGGACGAUUUACUCCAAAUGUUAUGAUGAAUUAGUGGAAGAAUGCCAGGAAGUUUGAGAAGGGGUUAAGACCGAAAUUGUAUCACAAAGUAGCAAUGUUCACUCUAAUUACCUACUAAACAGUAUUAGAAAAGGCACAGCUGGUAGAGACUUUGCAGAGGGAACAUAUUGAGUACAAUAUAGGGCUUUCUAAUUACAAACAGACGCCACAACAGUUCAACCAGAUAAAG